GAUGAACGCUGGCGGCGUGCCUAAUACAUGCAAGUCGAGCGAACGGACGAGAAGCUUGCUUUUCUGAUGUUAGCGGCGGACGGGUGAGUAACACGUGGAUAACCUACCUAUAAGACUGGGAUAACUUCGGGAAACCGGAGCUAAUACCGGAUAAUAUUUUGAACCGCAUGGUUCAAAAGUGAAAGACGGUCUUGCUGUCACUUAUAGAUGGAUCCGCGCUGCAUUAGCUAGUUGGUAAGGUAACGGCUUACCAAGGCAACGAUGCAUAGCCGACCUGAGAGGGUGAUCGGCCACACUGGAACUGAGACACGGUCCAGACUCCUACGGGAGGCAGCAGUAGGGAAUCUUCCGCAAUGGGCGAAAGCCUGACGGAGCAACGCCGCGUGAGUGAUGAAGGUCUUCGGAUCGUAAAACUCUGUUAUUAGGGAAGAACAUAUGUGUAAGUAACUGUGCACAUCUUGACGGUACCUAAUCAGAAAGCCACGGCUAACUACGUGCCAGCAGCCGCGGUAAUACGUAGGUGGCAAGCGUUAUCCGGAAUUAUUGGGCGUAAAGCGCGCGUAGGCGGUUUUUUAAGUCUGAUGUGAAAGCCCACGGCUCAACCGUGGAGGGUCAUUGGAAACUGGAAAACUUGAGUGCAGAAGAGGAAAGUGGAAUUCCAUGUGUAGCGGUGAAAUGCGCAGAGAUAUGGAGGAACACCAGUGGCGAAGGCGACUUUCUGGUCUGUAACUGACGCUGAUGUGCGAAAGCGUGGGGAUCAAACAGGAUUAGAUACCCUGGUAGUCCACGCCGUAAACGAUGAGUGCUAAGUGUUAGGGGGUUUCCGCCCCUUAGUGCUGCAGCUAACGCAUUAAGCACUCCGCCUGGGGAGUACGACCGCAAGGUUGAAACUCAAAGGAAUUGACGGGGACCCGCACAAGCGGUGGAGCAUGUGGUUUAAUUCGAAGCAACGCGAAGAACCUUACCAAAUCUUGACAUCCUUUGACAACUCUAGAGAUAGAGCCUUCCCCUUCGGGGGACAAAGUGACAGGUGGUGCAUGGUUGUCGUCAGCUCGUGUCGUGAGAUGUUGGGUUAAGUCCCGCAACGAGCGCAACCCUUAAGCUUAGUUGCCAUCAUUAAGUUGGGCACUCUAAGUUGACUGCCGGUGACAAACCGGAGGAAGGUGGGGGUGACGUCAAAUCAUCAUGCCCCUUAUGAUUUGGGCUACACACGUGCUACAAUGGACAAUACAAAGGGCAGCGAAACCGCGAGGUCAAGCAAAUCCCAUAAAGUUGUUCUCAGUUCGGAUUGUAGUCUGCAACUCGACUACAUGAAGCUGGAAUCGCUAGUAAUCGUAGAUCAGCAUGCUACGGUGAAUACGUUCCCGGGUCU
This 1372-nucleotide ribosomal RNA is filed under the name uncultured bacterium. Its description in RNAcentral is "bacterial SSU rRNA". It matches the Rfam family "Bacterial small subunit ribosomal RNA", at positions 28 to 1381 of the family's 1533-position model. The record is from RNAcentral.